This 962-nucleotide ribosomal RNA is filed under the name Canalisporium aquaticium. RNAcentral's name for it is "SSU rRNA". It matches the Rfam family "Eukaryotic small subunit ribosomal RNA", at positions 87 to 1058 of the family's 1831-position model. The record is from RNAcentral. Lineage: Eukaryota; Fungi; Ascomycota; Sordariomycetes.
CUGCGAAUGGCUCAUUAUAUAAGUUAUCGUUUAUUUGAUAGUGCCUAUCCUACAUGGAUAACAGUGGUAAUUCUAGAGCUAAUACAUGCUAAAUGCUCCGACUUCGGAAGGAGCGUAUUUAUCAGAUUAAAAACCAGCGCCCUUUGGGCUCCUUGGUGGCUCAUGAUAACUCCACAGAUCGCAUGGCCUAGUGCCGGCGAUGGCUCAUUCAAAUUUCUUCCCUAUCAACUUUCGACGGUAGGGUCUUGGCCUACCGUGGUUGUAACGGGUGACGGAGGGUUAGGGCUCGACCCCGGAGAGGGAGCCUGAGAAACGGCUACCACAUCCAAGGAAGGCAGCAGGCGCGCAAAUUAUCCAAUCCCGACACGGGGAGAUAGUGACAAUAAAUAUCGAUACGGGGCUCUUUUGGGCCCCGUAAUUGGAAUGAGUACAAUUUAAACCUCUUAACGAGGAACAAUUGGAGGGCAAGUCUGGUGCCAGCAGCCGCGGUAAUUCCAGCUCCAAUAGCGUAUAUUAAAGUUGUUGUGGUUAAAAAGCUCGUAGUCGAACCUCGGGCUCGGCCGGCCGGUCCGCCUCACCGCGUGCACUGGCCCGGCCGGGCCCUUCCCUCUGCGGAACCGCAUGCCCUUUACUGGGCGUGUCGGGGAGGCAGGACUUUUACUUUGAAAAAAUUAGAGUGCUCAAGGCAGGCCAAUGCUCGGAUACAUUAGCAUGGAAUAAUGAAAUAGGACGUUCGGUUCUAUUUUGUUGGUUUCUAGGACCGCCGUAAUGAUCAAUAGGGACGGUCGGGGGCAUCAGUAUUCAGCCGCGAGAGGUGAAAUUCUUAGACCGGCUGAAGACUAACUACUGCGAAAGCAUUUGCCAAGGACGUUUUCGCUGAUCAGGAACGAAAGUUAGGGGAUCGAAGACGAUCAGAUACCGUCGUAGUCUUAACCAUAAACGGUGCCGACUGGGGAUCGGGC